Misgurnus anguillicaudatus (oriental weatherfish) is the source of this 1303-nucleotide non-coding RNA. The record is from RefSeq and is a predicted model, not a curated record. NCBI's taxonomy places the organism in Eukaryota, Metazoa, Chordata, Actinopteri, Cypriniformes, Cobitidae.
UAAAGUUUGCAAAAGAGCAUUUGGAAAAGCCUGUGGAUUUUUGGGAGACUAUAGUAUGGUCAGAUGAAAGCAAAAUGUAAGUUUUUGGCAGUCAUUCUUCACACAGUGUUUGCAGACAAAAUGCUCACCACGCAAGACUCCAUCGCUGAACGAAAAGCAUGUUGAGACUCGGGUAAAGUUUGCAAAAGAGCUUUUGGAGAAGCCUGUGAAUUUGGGAGACUACAGUAUGGUCAGAAGAAAGCAAAAUUGAACCCUUUGGCAGUCAUUCUUCACACCAUGUUUGGAGACAAAAUGACACUGCCCACCACCCCAAGAACACCAUACCAACAGUUAAGUUUGGGGGUGGAAACAUCAUGGUUUUGGGGCUGCUUUUCAGCAAGGGGUACUGGCAGACUUCAUAUUAUUGAAGGCAGUAUGAAUGAAGAAAUAUACCAGGACAUUCUGGAUAAAAAUCUGCUGCCAUCUACCAGAAAGCUGAAAAUGAAAAGAGGGUCGACAAUUUAGCAAGACAAUAGCCGUGUGUGCACUAUCGGGCUUCAAGCGGGCGUGCCAGUGCCUGCCGAGGCCUGUCACGUUUGCAUUGUCACUUCCGGGGCAUGAUCGUGCUUCACUGGUGCUUUGUUGGGGCUUAAGGCCCGGCUUUUCUGGCCCGCCGAAUUCCUUGGGCCAGAGCGGGCUUCUCGGGGCUAGGGGAGUGGUAAAAGUCAAAGGCGGAGUUUAUCUGAGUCUCUGGCAAGAUGCACAUCCAUCUGUCUGCAGAUUUAAAACUUUAAAAAAUAAUCGUGAUCACCAGUAAUUUACUGUUUAACGGAAGAUGCCUGCUAUGUUUGUACUUCGGACUGAAGAAAAUGAUCUGCAUGUGUAAAAAACAAAGACGCGUUACAACGCCGAACUCGCCAUGCUAAGGAUCCGGCGCACACCGCUACCGGUUCGGGAGAAGUUUAUAAAGUUUCGGGCACAGAACAAAGUGUUUAAAGUGCAACAGGGCUGAGAAAUUAAAGAUGUGUGUUGGAUCAUCAUUUCAUCAUCCAUGUAUUAAAGAAGCGAUCACUCGAGUCACGAUGGUAUCUACAGUCGAAAAAUGCCAACGUAAAGCUUUCAGUUUGUCAUCCAGGAGUUUUUAUUUUGUAUAUGAGAGAUGAAACAGCAACAGAUGCAAGAGCAGGAGAUGAAACGAAGAUGAUGAUGAUGAGACGACAGGAGCCAUGGAUGUUGAAAUCCGUCCGGAGGAGAUGUCUUUAAAUACACCUGUUUGUGCACUGAUAUAAACUUCAUAUGUUAAUAAAGUACCGCGCUAUUAUUA